GGGCCAAAGGGAGUAGAGAUUGCCUUCUGCGCGUACCCGACUCUGCUCGCCUCCGCCUCCAGGAUGUGGGGGAUGGGAGGCGACCCUCCACGACCCUCUCCCCACCCAGCCCAGAAAGCUGAACUGGCAAGAGGUCUGUUUUGCCUGAACCCAUCAACAACUGGGAGAUUAAUCAACCACACUGAAAAUGGGGAGAGGAAAGGGAGGAGUUGGAAUGUAGAUGUUUGAAACAAAUGUGUAUAAAUAAAUGAAUUUUUGA
Long non-coding RNA from Microtus ochrogaster (prairie vole), 259 nucleotides. RefSeq lists it as uncharacterized. The record is from RefSeq and is a predicted model, not a curated record. Lineage: Eukaryota; Metazoa; Chordata; Mammalia; Rodentia; Cricetidae. The transcript is spliced from 2 exons.